RNAcentral lists this ribosomal RNA (484 nucleotides) under uncultured bacterium. Its description in RNAcentral is "partial 16S ribosomal RNA". It matches the Rfam family "Bacterial small subunit ribosomal RNA", at positions 29 to 507 of the family's 1533-position model. The record is from RNAcentral.
AGUGAACGCUGGCGGCAGGCCUAACACAUGCAAGUCGAGCGGAAGAACGGUGCUAGCUUGUGGAUACAGCGGGGGACGGGCGGGUGAGUCAGGGGAAUAUCCGAGGCUGCGGUUUAGAACGUCCGAAAGUGGGGGCUAAUACGCUAAUAGCGCAUAGGAAGAAAGGGGGGGAGCAUGGGAUCUUACGCUAUCAGAUGAGCCUAGGUGGGAUUAGCUAGUUGGUUGGGUAAAGGCCUACCAAGGCGACGAUCCGAAGCUGGUCUGAGAGGAUGAUCAGUCACACUGGAACUGAGACACGGUCCAGACUCCUACGGGAGGCAGCAGUGGGGAAUAUUGGACAAUGGGCGAAAGCCUGAUCCAGCCAUGCCGCGUGUGUGAAGAAGGCCUUCGGAUUGUAAAGCCCUUUUAGUUGGGAAGAAAAGCAGUAGGUUAAUACCCUGCUGUUUUGACGGUACCCACAGAAUAAGCACCGGCUAACUUCGUG